GACGAACGCUGGCGGCGUGCUUAACACAUGCAAGUCGAACGGAAAGGCCCUGCUUUUGUGGGGUGCUCGAGUGGCGAACGGGUGAGUAACACGUGAGUAACCUGCCCUUGACUUUGGGAUAACUUCUGGAAACUGGGGCUAAUACCGGAUAGGAGCUCCUGCUGCAUUGUGGGGGUUGGAAAGUUUCGGCGGUUGGGGAUGGACUCGCGGCUUAUCAGCUUGUUGGUGGGGUAGUGGCUUACCAAGGCUUUGACGGGUAGCCGGCCUGAGAGGGUGACCGGCCACAUUGGGACUGAGAUAGGGCCCAGACUCCAACGGGAGGCAGCAGGGGGGAAUAUAGCACAAUGGGCGGAAGCCUGAUGCAGCAACGCCGCGUGCGGGAUGACGGCCUUCGGGUUGUAAACAGCUUUAGCCUGUGACGAAGCGUGAGUGACGGUAAUGGGUAAAGAAGCACCGGCUAACUACGUG
Molecule: ribosomal RNA, 468 nt
Filed under: uncultured bacterium
Lineage: Bacteria
Description: partial 16S ribosomal RNA
Rfam family: Bacterial small subunit ribosomal RNA
Source: RNAcentral